GUUUACUUUGACAGCACAUGUACUAAAAUUAGAACUACAUAGGUAAGAUUAGCAUGGCCCCUGCUUAAGAAUGACAUGCAAAUUUGACAAGUACUCCAUAUUAUU
RNAcentral lists this small nuclear RNA (105 nucleotides) under Neotoma lepida (desert woodrat). Lineage: Eukaryota; Metazoa; Chordata; Mammalia; Rodentia; Cricetidae. The record is from RNAcentral.